AGCGAACGCUGGCGGCAGGCCUAACACAUGCAAGUCGAACGAACCUUUCGGGGUUAGUGGCGGACGGGUGAGUAACACGUGGGAACGUGCCUUUAGGUUCGGAAUAACUCAGGGAAACUUGUGCUAAUACCGAAUGUGCCCUUCGGGGGAAAGAUUAAUCGCCUUUAGAGCGGCCCGCGUCUGAUUAGCUAGUUGGUUGAGGUAAUGGCUCACCAAGGCGACGAUCAGUAGCUGGUCUGAGAGGAUGAUCAGCCACAUUGGGACUGAGACACGGCCCAAACUCCGACGGGAGGCAGCAGUGGGGAAUCUUGCGCAAUGGGCGAAAGCCUGACGCAGCCAUGCCGCGGGAAUGAUGAAGGUCUUAGGAUUGUAAAAUUCUUUCACCGGGGACGAUAAUGACGGUACCCGGAGAAGAAGCCCCGGCUAACUUCGUG
Molecule: ribosomal RNA, 434 nt
Filed under: uncultured bacterium
Lineage: Bacteria
Description: partial 16S ribosomal RNA
Rfam family: Bacterial small subunit ribosomal RNA
Source: RNAcentral